GCACAACACAAAUUCAUUCGUCUCAUAUACCGUCAAAAAUUCUCACUUUGAAAUGAAUUUUACUUUUCAAAGAGAAGAAAACAACAGAGAGAAAGAGAGCAAAAGUAUCAUUUUCACAUGCACAAAUACUUUGGAAUCACGAAAUUAACUUUAAAGAAAAGUGGAUCUAACAUGGGUAAUGUCAAGUUCUAAGCUUUUUUCUUUGAAAGAAAGAGAGAAGGGUGGGGAGGGAGA
This 234-nucleotide unclassified non-coding RNA is filed under the name Hevea brasiliensis (rubber tree). Lineage: Eukaryota; Viridiplantae; Streptophyta; Magnoliopsida; Malpighiales; Euphorbiaceae. The record is from RNAcentral.